GCGACCUCAGCUCAGGCGGGGCCACCCGCU
This 30-nucleotide ribosomal RNA is filed under the name Peltogyne confertiflora. Its description in RNAcentral is "partial 26S ribosomal RNA". The record is from RNAcentral. Lineage: Eukaryota; Viridiplantae; Streptophyta; Magnoliopsida; Fabales; Fabaceae.